GUGCCGGGGGCCCCGCUGGCGCCCCCAGCCUCUGCCAACUCAGGGUAGGAGAGCGCGACGGAGCGCCGCCUGAUUCUUCUGGCUCAGGGAAGCAGAGGAGACAUGUGAGAGCCAGAGGAGGGACGAGCGGCCCAGAGUUAUCCUUUGAGCGCCGGGUCCGGGCCGCAGAGUUCAGGCAAGGGGAAAGUCCAGAGGGCAAAGCCAGGAGAGGACUGGAAGUUCAGGGCGUGGGCUCAAGCUGCCUCCCUCCCGGUGGGCCCUGGUCGUCCCCAGAAGGAGCUGUGUGAACAGGCAAGGACAGGACCAACAACCACACUCCUGCCCGCCCAGCCUGGACCCCACACCUUAGGUUCUUCUGGUCCUGCCUGAAGAACCAUUUCCUGAGCUUUGGUGUGUGUACGCAAACGCGGAAAGAAACUGUAAGAGCAAAAGGAAGGAAAUCUGGCUGGGCUGAGAACCAGUUUCCAGGACCACAACCUUCCAGCGAGACACACCAAGCCCUAGUGGACCUUGCUCCCUAGUUAUCCCCGCAGGCAGACUGUGGAGGAGGAGCAAAGAUGCUGAAGAAAGAAGUAUCCAACCGUUUCUGCCAGGCAUGUGCUAGGCUCAGGGGCAGCGAGGCGAGGAGGACUGUGGCCCUCUCCUCUGCCUGCAGACAGAGCCCACACUGUAAAUAGAGGCACUCCCCAGAGCCAGACAGCUGCACGAACUCAGGGAGGAAGAAGAAAAAACUGAUUUCACAGAGGUGCCACGAGGUAAGAAGCCAUUCUUCCUGGAGUGAUCGUGUGUGCUUCCAGCUUCCUCAGCCUCAACCCUACUCUUAUCAGACUCCAAGAUCAAUCUUGGCUGCAAACUUUGCUGGUGAGCAGGGAGAAGCCGCCAGCGAUGGACAGCUCCACCUUUUCUCAUGGCUCAGCCUGUGGAGAAGGACUUUGCUCUCUCAGACACGAAGAGAAAAGAGAACUUCAGGACAAGAGGAGGGGACAGUGGUCAGAAGCGCCAGCUAGUAAAGAAAGCUGAGAAGCAAGAGAAGGCCACUCGAUGGGGUGGCCUCCAGCCCAGUGUCCGGACAGGAUCCCAGGAUCCAGAGCACCUGCCAGUCCUGAGGAGGGAUCCAGGCGGGCAGGGGCAGAGCUGAGGUGUCUGGGCCAGACUAGGUCACCAGAACAUGGUGCCCAGGGAAUAUCAUCAUUGCCAAAGUCAGCUUACCUCCUCGCUGCCAGAGACCUGCCACUUGCUACAUGUUUGGUGGAGAAGUGAAAGCUGGGCCACCUCCUCGAAGGAAGAAAGAGGCGACACCAUCUCUUCUCUCAAGGAGUUUACAAUUUUGCUGGAUAGGCAAUAUGAUCCUAUUUUAUAGAUGAAGAAACUUGAUGAAGUGUUGAGAUGUCCAUGUCGUGGAGGGAACCGGCUGUCUUAAGUUUUUUUUUUCAUUCUGCUGCGGUCUUAGUUCCUGUUCUCCAUGAAAUAGGUCAUCUCUUCAAAGAUCCCCAGCUUGGUCCUCCUAAUCCCUACCCACCUUCUUCCUUCACAUCUGGGCUCCCACUUUCUUCUCUCAUUCCACUUCAGCUUCCCAGCCCAACUCUGUCCUUACGCCCAGUGCUCCAUCUAAUCCAAAAAGGAAACCAGUGUCACUCUGUUCUGCCUGAGAAGCCCAAUAAUGGUCACCCACUUAUUCAAUAAGCACUGUGUGUGCCAGGAAACGAGCAAGAUCUGACCGGACGGACGCCCUCGAACCUUUUCAGUCUGUUGGUUAUUUGCCCAUUGACCUCUAGGGCUUUAGACUCAAGAGAUCAGCCUGAAGGAACCGAGGUCUGGGAAGAGGUAUCCAGAACCAGAAGUUAAGUACCUCAGGAGCACUUUAGUACCUUAGCACUCUUCUGCUCUGCUACUGGUACCUCGUGUUACAUCUGAAGAUGAGGGCUCAUCCCACACCUGGGUCUCUCCCCUCACAACUUGCUGUCUGCAGCUCAGGCACAGAGAGCAGACCUCUCUCUCACCCUCACCCCUGCGACUACAAGCCCCUUCUCAGACUUCGAAGAUCCUGCAGGUCCAAAAGUACAUCUAGGAAUUCAGAGGCCAGAUUUCUCUGCAAGCACAGUGGUCUCAGCCCUGAUCCCUCCCACUCCUCCCCCGAUGGUGCCCAGUUCCUGUCUGUUCCAGCCUCUGACUCCCUUAUUCCCUUUCAAGCCUCAAUUUCAAGUUCACAUUCUUCCCAGCUCUAAGUCUUCCUCUUGUUUCAGGGCUUCCCACCACCUCUCCACCUUCUCAGAUUGUCUAUGGCCUCUUCUCCUAGUGUUCCUCACUGACUCCCAUGUCAAUCCUUCCAUCCCAAGCUGUGCUUCCUGAUCCCCUGCUGAGCCCAGCCUGCUGCUUCCCUCCAAGCCCCCUUCAAACAUCUUUUUUGGGCUGCUUCUGGUAACUAGGGCCCUUCUGGGCUAAAAUCCUCCAUCUCCGCCCCCUCGGGCUCUCCGUGCUUCUACCAAGGCUGACUUAAGUGAGUCAGCCUUGGGCUAGGCUGUUCUUCCUUCCGCAGGAGUCUCUGUCUUCCUAUCUCUGCCUUCCUCUGAUCCUCUGUGUCCGCUUCCUCUGUGUCUACCAAGGAGGCUCCCUUGGUAUCUCCCAGUCUCUGUGCCUCCUGCACCUCUUCCUCCUGAUUUCUCUGUAUUUCUCUUUCCCAGGGCUCUGGUCUCCGUCCCAUCAGUUCUUCUGCCCAGCUUCCAUCUCUGUGCACCCCUGACCUCCUGUGGUCUGGUCCAUAGACCGCCAUCUCCCCUCCUGUCUAGCCACAACUCUCUCCUCCCUCUGGUCUCCCUCCUCUAUCGUUGUCUUUGAUUCUCCCUACUCUAACUCCCCAACUUGUUAUGCCUGUCACUUUCCUUCUCUAUCUGUCUCUUUAGUUAAGUCUCUCCUCUCUGUGUCUUCCCCACCUUUGUCUCUCUCCUCUUCCUCCAGCUCUUCCUAUCUCUAUGUCUCUGAUCUGUCUCUUCCCCUUUAUCUCUCGGUCUUUCUUCGAUUUCUCUGACUCUGACUUUGUCUAUCUGCCCCCUCUUCUCCCCCACCCCAAUAUCUCUGUCUCUCCAUCUCUCUGGGCCCUCGCUCCCUCCCUCUCUCUCUCUUCCUCGGCUCUCUCCGGCUCCCUCUCUCGCCUCGGAUGACAGCGCUGCCUCUUUUGU
Camelus dromedarius (Arabian camel) is the source of this 3176-nucleotide long non-coding RNA. RefSeq lists it as uncharacterized. Lineage: Eukaryota; Metazoa; Chordata; Mammalia; Artiodactyla; Camelidae. The transcript is spliced from 6 exons. The record is from RefSeq and is a predicted model, not a curated record.